GAUAGGCUGAUUAUACAGUAGGUUGUUAAUGAUAGGCUGAUUCUACAGUAGGUUGUUAAUGAUAUCCUGAUCAUACAGUAGGUUGUUAAUGAUAGGCUGAUUAUACAGUAGGUUGUUAAUGAUAGGCUGAUUCUACAGUAGGUUGUUAAUGAUAUCCUGAUCAUACAGUAGGUUGUUAAUGAUAGGCUGAUUAUACAGUAGGUUGUUAAUGAUAGGCUGAUUAUACAUUAGGCUGUUAAUGAUAGGCUGAUUCUACAGUAGGUUGUUAAUGAUAGGCUGAUUAUACAGUAGGUUGUUAAUAAUAUCCUACUUUUACAGUAGGUUGUUAAUGAUAGGCUGAUUAUACAGUAGGUUGUUAAUAAUAGGCUGCUUCUACAGUGCAGAAAUAAGUAUUUUGCAGAAAUACAGUAAGUGUUUAGUGUUUUAACGUAAGUUAUUUUUGUGUGUUGCUGUCCAUUGACUGAUGGGGGAUAUCAGGCUAUUUUGUUAUUUUUAUAUGAAUUAUUGAAUAACUCAUUGUACUCCGUUGAUGUGAUAUGUGUACUUAUUAAGGUAGCGAGGUAUUGUAGUGAUGCACAGUGGUGAUUUCUAGUCACAAUAUGCCAGCAGCAGACCACCCUGCAUCCCACUGCUGGCUUGCUUCUGAAGCUAAGCAGGGUUGGUCCUGGAUGGGAGACCAGAUGCUGCUGGAAGUGGUGUUGGAGGGCCAAUAGGAGGAAUUGUAGUGAUGCACAGUGGUGAUUUCUAGUCACAAUAAACUACUAAUGUUUUCAGUUAAUACUCUUCAGGAUUUUGUAUGAUUUUUAUUAGCCUGGGUGCCAGUCUGUAUAGCCAGUUAUACAUGAUUUUUAUUAGCCUGGGUGCCAGUCUGUAUAGCCAGUUAUACAUGUGUCACGUCCUAACCAGUAAAAGGGGUUGUUUGUUAUUGUAGUUUGGUCAGGGCAUGGCAGGAGGUGUUUGUUUAGGGUGUUUCGGGGUGUUUUGGUUUAUGUUCUAUGUUAGUGUAUUUCUAUGUUCGUUCUAUUUGUUCUAUUUCUAUGCGUAGUUUAUUGGGUUGAUCUUCAAUUGGAGGCAGCUGUUCCUCGUUGCCUCUAAUUGAAGGUCCUAUUUAAUAGAGGUGUUUUUGUCAUGGGAUUUGUGGGUAGUUGUUUCUCUGUAUAGUCAUUUUGUCCUUACGAGACAGUUUUUUCG
This 1191-nucleotide long non-coding RNA is filed under the name Salmo salar (Atlantic salmon). RNAcentral describes it as "lncRNA (ENSSSAG00000116108.1)". Lineage: Eukaryota; Metazoa; Chordata; Actinopteri; Salmoniformes; Salmonidae. The record is from RNAcentral.